GUGCAGCAGGCGCGAAACCUCCGCAAUGCGGGAAACCGUGACGGGGUCACCCCGAGUGCCUCCCGAUAAGGGAGGCUUUUCCCCGCUGUAAACAGGCGGGAGAAUAAGCGGGGGCGAAGUCUGGUGUCAGCCGCCGCGGUAAUACCAGCCCCGCGAGUGGUCGGGACGGUUAUUGGGCCUAAAGCGCCCGUAGCCGGCCCGGCAAGUCCCCGCGUAAAGCCCCGGGCUUAACCCGGGGAAUUGCGGGGAUACUACCGGGCUAGGGGGCGGGAGAGGCCGAGGGUACUCCCGGGGUAGGGGCGAAAUCCUGUAAUCCCGGGAGGGACCACCAGUGGCGAAGGCGCUCGGCUGGAACGCGCCCGACGGUGAGGGGCGAAAGCCGGGGGAGGCAAACCGGAUUAGAUACCCCGGUAGU
This 415-nucleotide ribosomal RNA is filed under the name uncultured microorganism. RNAcentral's name for it is "bacterial SSU rRNA". It matches the Rfam family "Archaeal small subunit ribosomal RNA", at positions 330 to 745 of the family's 1478-position model. The record is from RNAcentral.